RNAcentral lists this unclassified non-coding RNA (329 nucleotides) under soil metagenome. Its description in RNAcentral is "partial contains 5.8S ribosomal RNA, internal transcribed spacer 2, and large subunit ribosomal RNA". The stretch from base 1 to 120 matches the Rfam family "5.8S ribosomal RNA", at positions 35 to 154 of the family's 154-position model. The record is from RNAcentral.
GAUGAAGAACGUAGCGAAAUGCGAUAAGUAAUGUGAAUUGCAGAAUUCAGUGAAUCAUCGAAUCUUUGAACGCACAUUGCGCCCCCUGGUAUUCCGGGGGGCAUGCCUGUCCGAGCGUCAUUACAACCCUCAAGCUCAGCUUGGUGUUGGGCCCCGCCGCCCCGGCGGGCCCUAAAGUCGGUGGCGGUGCCGUCCGGCUCCGAGCGUAGUAAUUCUUCUCGCUCUGGAGGUCCGGUCGUGUGCUCGCCAGCAACCCCCAAUUUUUUUCAGGUUGACCUCGGAUCAGGUAGGGAUACCCGCUGAACUUAAGCAUAUCAAUAAUCGGAGGA